This 439-nucleotide ribosomal RNA is filed under the name uncultured bacterium. RNAcentral's name for it is "partial 16S ribosomal RNA". It matches the Rfam family "Bacterial small subunit ribosomal RNA", at positions 339 to 795 of the family's 1533-position model. The record is from RNAcentral.
CUACGGGGUGCUGCAGUGAGGAAUAUUGCACAAUGGGGGGAACCCUGAUGCAGCAACGCCGCGUGGAGGAUGACGCAUUUCGGUGUGUAAACUCCUUUUAUAUGUCAAGAAAAUGACGGUAGCAUAUGAAUAAGCACCGGCUAACUCCGUGCCAGCAGCCGCGGUAAUACGGAGGGUGCAAGCGUUACUCGGAAUCACUGGGCGUAAAGGACGCGUAGGCGGGUUGGAAAGUCAGGUGUGAAAUCCUACAGCUUAACUGUAGAACUGCACUUGAAACUUCUAAUCUAGAGUAUGGGAGGGGCAGAUGGAAUUAGUGGUGUAGGGGUAAAAUCCGUAGAUAUCACUAGGAAUACCUAAAGCGAAGGCGAUCUGCUGGAACAUAACUGACGCUAAGGCGUGAAAGCGUGGGGAGCAAACAGGAUUAGAUACCCGAGUAGUC